CCAAAAGCUAGAACAAAUUCCUAUAUUUUUACAAUUUUAUUCCUUUUCUACCCUUAUAGAAACCAUAAGCUGAGAACAAAUAAAGAUUAGUGAUUCAAUGAAUCGUGACUUUUAAGUCUUGUAACAUUUUGAUCACCCUCUUCAGUGACCUGACCAAUGACCAUCAUAAAUGAUGAAUUGAAUGCUCACAUUCAUAAUUCAUUGAUGUUUCCACAUUAAAUUCAUAAAUGUCACCAUCACGGGAAUACAAAUCAACCAAUUCAUUAAGGAGAUCAUCAAUUCUCUUUGCACAUUGAUGACUUCAAUAAUCCCUUGGUAAUUGAAUCGUUUAUUCUUUCUCCUGUAGUUGAAUGGUUUGUUGAAUCUUUAUAUUAUAAAACCAGAUAUUUGUAGCAUCGUUGGCCUUCAUUCCCUAGCCAAACUCUUUGCAACCAGUUCUGACCACCAUAGGGGUUGGCCGAUGGCGGUUAUUGGUGAGGCGAACGUCGGUGGUGAUAAUAUUGCAAACGUGGUUAGGAUUUUAAUUAGAGGUGCUCGAUUGCCGUGAAUAGAAGGGUGGCAACAGUUAAAGUUGAUGAAGGACUGUGACAUGGCAAAAGGACGGCGACGGAGCCGGAGAAAGGUGGAUGAGGUGAUUGCGGAGGUCCGACGAUGGGGGCAGCGAUAAUGGCUUCGGUCAUUGACCCAGCGGAUAUUGCUGGACUUGAAUCUGCACUAAAUAACCACAAAGUGUUAGUCUUUUCUUCAUUGAGUCGCUAACCAAUCCGUUUCUAAGAUGCCUCGACUUUGAGUUAAUCCGUUUCUAAGGUAUAUAUAUGGUGAAGUUUGAGCCGGGUUGAAUAGCGGCUAAGGAUCAGUGGAAAUGGGUUGCGGAUCGUGAUGGUUGUUUUUCUAUUAAGUCGGUUAAAUGAUUGUUAAGUGCGGACAGUGAGCAGGAUUCAGGUUUCAUCUUGGACUCGUGCAGUUGGGUGCCAGCAAAGUGCAACAUACAUGUGUGGAGAAUGGAUCUCGAUAGAUUACCGAUGGCGGAAGCACUAUUAAAAAGGAAUAUAUAUGUUGAAGACGCAUCAUGUCCAUUCUGCAACUCGGUCGACGAAUCUGCAGACCACAACUUUAUUGGUUGUCGCUCGGCUUCUAUUGUCUAGAACAGCAUAAGUAAUUGGUGCAAAAUUCUGAGUAUACUUGCAUUCUCUCUUUCUGAUUUGCUCUGCAUUUUUAAAGAUCUAAGACCUCGGAAAAGAAGAAAGCUGCGGUUCAAGGAAUCAUCAUGAUAGUUUGCUUGAGUUUGUGGCGUGCGAGGAAUAACGCCAAGUUCUCGAAUAGUCAGAUAAGGAUAGAAAACAUCAUUAGUGAAGUUAAAGCUUUGAGUUUUCUUUGGUUUUCGAAUAGAUCUAAGUAUAAAGGGAUAGGAUGGGGGGAGUGGUGUUCCUUUGUAAAUAUGUAAUUUAGUCUGUGUUUGUUUCUGUUUGUUGUCGGUCCGGCUUGGGUCGGCGGUUUGUUAAUGAAAUUUACCUUUCAAAAAAAAGCAUCUUUUGUUUAUUCAUAUAAUUAAACCAAAAGAUAUGUUCUGAAUUAUUCAUAUAAUUAAAUCAAGGCUUUAAGCCUUCUCGGGGUUAGAGCAAGGGCUAAACAGGUCUCCUUGACCUGGGAGGUGUGGCAAGGUUUCAAUCUAUCUAGGGUGGGUUCGUAGCUUUGGGUGCAAUGGGUAUUAUUUUAUUUUGUUUGUAAGGUGGUCUGUAUUCUGUACAUCUGGUGUAUGCUAGCUCCCAGCUAGCUUUGGUUGAAUAAAACUUUUUCAUUGGC
Helianthus annuus (common sunflower) is the source of this 1803-nucleotide long non-coding RNA. RefSeq lists it as uncharacterized. The transcript is spliced from 4 exons. Lineage: Eukaryota; Viridiplantae; Streptophyta; Magnoliopsida; Asterales; Asteraceae. The record is from RefSeq and is a predicted model, not a curated record.